CUAGGAGGUUGGCUUAGAAGCAGCCAUCCUUUAAAGAAAGCGUAAUAGCUCACUAGUCGAGUCGGCCUGCGCGGAAGAUGUAACGGGGCUCAAACCACACACCGAAGCUGCGGGUGUCACGUAAGUGACGCGGUAGAGGAGCGUUCUGUAAGCCUGUGAAGGUGAGUUGAGAAGCUUGCUGGAGGUAUCAGAAGUGCGAAUGCUGACAUGAGUAACGACAAUGGGUGUGAAAAACACCCACGCCGAAAGACCAAGGGUUCCUGCGCAACGUUAAUCGACGCAGGGUUAGUCGGUUCCUAAGGCGAGGCUGAAAAGCGUAGUCGAUGGGAAACAGGUUAAUAUUCCUGUACUUCUGGUUACUGCGAUGGAGGGACGGAGAAGGCUAGGCCAGCUUGGCGUUGGUUGUCCAAGUUUAAGGUGGUAGGCUGAAAUCUUAGGUAAAUCCGGGGUUUCAAGGCCGAGAGCUGAUGACGAGUCGUCUUUUAGAUGACGAAGUGGUUGAUGCCAUGCUUCCAAGAAAAGCUUCUAAGCUUCAGGUAACCAGGAACCGUACCCCAAACCGACACAGGUGGUCGGGUAGAGAAUACCAAGGCGCUUGAGAGAACUCGGGUGAAGGAACUAGGCAAAAUGGCACCGUAACUUCGGGAGAAGGUGCGCCGGCUAGGGUGAAGGAUUUACUCCGUAAGCUCUGGCUGGUCGAAGAUACCAGGCCGCUGCGACUGUUUAUUAAAAACACAGCACUCUGCAAACACGAAAGUGGACGUAUAGGGUGUGACGCCUGCCCGGUGCCGGAAGGUUAAUUGAUGGGGUUAGCGCAAGCGAAGCUCUUGAUCGAAGCCCCGGUAAACGGCGGCCGUAACUAUAACGGUCCUAAGGUAGCGAAAUUCCUUGUCGGGUAAGUUCCGACCUGCACGAAUGGCGUAACGAUGGCGGCGCUGUCUCCACCCGAGACUCAGUGAAAUUGAAAUCGCUGUGAAGAUGCAGUGUAUCCGCGGCUAGACGGAAAGACCCCGUGAACCUUUACUGUAGCUUUGCACUGGACUUUGAGCCUGCUUGUGUAGGAUAGGUGGGAGGCUUUGAAGCGUGGACGCCAGUUCGCGUGGAGCCAUCCUUGAAAUACCACCCUGGCAUGCUUGAGGUUCUAACUCUGGUCCGUAAUCCGGAUCGAGGACAGUGUAUGGUGGGCAGUUUGACUGGGGCGGUCUCCUCCUAAAGAGUAACGGAGGAGUACGAAGGUGCGCUCAGACCGGUCGGAAAUCGGUCGCAGAGUAUAAAGGCAAAAGCGCGCUUGACUGCGAGACAGACACGUCGAGCAGGUACGAAAGUAGGUCUUAGUGAUCCGGUGGUUCUGUAUGGAAGGGCCAUCGCUCAACGGAUAAAAGGUACUCCGGGGAUAACAGGCUGAUACCGCCCAAGAGUUCAUAUCGACGGCGGUGUUUGGCACCUCGAUGUCGGCUCAUCACAUCCUGGGGCUGAAGCCGGUCCCAAGGGUAUGGCUGUUCGCCAUUUAAAGUGGUACGCGAGCUGGGUUUAGAACGUCGUGAGACAGUUCGGUCCCUAUCUGCCGUGGACGUUUGAGAUUUGAGAGGGGCUGCUCCUAGUACGAGAGGACCGGAGUGGACGAACCUCUGGUGUUCCGGUUGUCACGCCAGUGGCAUUGCCGGGUAGCUAUGUUCGGAAAAGAUAACCGCUGAAAGCAUCUAAGCGGGAAACUUGCCUCAAGAUGAGAUCUCACUGGGAACUUGAUUCCCCUGAAGGGCCGUCGAAGACUACGACGUUGAUAGGCUGGGUGUGUAAGCGUUGUGAGGCGUUGAGCUAACCAGUACUAAUUGCCCGUGAGGCUUGACCAUAUAACACCCAAACA
This 1864-nucleotide ribosomal RNA is filed under the name Pseudomonas aeruginosa. RNAcentral describes it as "partial 23S ribosomal RNA". It matches the Rfam family "Bacterial large subunit ribosomal RNA", at positions 1093 to 2925 of the family's 2925-position model. Lineage: Bacteria; Pseudomonadati; Pseudomonadota; Gammaproteobacteria; Pseudomonadales; Pseudomonadaceae. The record is from RNAcentral.